GGCUGGUCUGAAGGUAGUGAGUUAGCUCAAUUGAUUGUUCACAGUCAGUUAUAGGUCAAGCUCCUUGUUCUACUCUUCCCCUCUUCUCACUACUGCACUUCACUAGUCUUAA
Molecule: unclassified non-coding RNA, 112 nt
Organism: Cercocebus atys (sooty mangabey)
Lineage: Eukaryota; Metazoa; Chordata; Mammalia; Primates; Cercopithecidae
Rfam family: Y RNA
About the family: Y RNAs are components of the Ro ribonucleoprotein particle (Ro RNP), in association with Ro60 and La proteins. The Y RNAs and Ro60 and La proteins are well conserved, but the function of the Ro RNP is not known.
Source: Ensembl